GACGAACGCUGGCGGCGUGCUUAACACAUGCAAGUCGAACGGUGAAGCGCCUUCCUUUUUGGUGGGUGUGGAUGAGUGGCGAACGGGUGAGUAACACGUGAGUAACCUGCCCCCUUCUUCUGGAUAACCGCAUGAAAGUGUGGCUAAUACGGGAUAUUCUGGGUCUGUCGCAUGAUGGGUCUGGGAAAGAUAUUGUUUCGGUGGGGGAUGGGCUCGCGGCCUAUCAGCUUGUUGGUGGGGUGAUGGCCUACCAAGGCGGUGACGGGUAGCCGGCCUGGGAGGGUGGACGGUCACACUGGGACUGAGACACGGCCCAGACUCCUACGGGAGGCAGCAGUGGGGAAUAUGGCACAAUGGGCGCAAGCCUGAUGCAGCGACGCCGCGUGAGGGAUGGAGGCCUUCGGGUUGUGAACCUCUUUCGCCAGUGAAGCAGGCCUGCCUCGUUUGUGGGUGGGUUGACGGUAGCUGGAUAAGAAGCGCCGGCUAACUACGUG
RNAcentral lists this ribosomal RNA (494 nucleotides) under uncultured bacterium. RNAcentral describes it as "partial 16S ribosomal RNA". It matches the Rfam family "Bacterial small subunit ribosomal RNA", at positions 28 to 507 of the family's 1533-position model. The record is from RNAcentral.